UUUGUCUCAAUGAUCUAUUAAUGCACUCAAACCACACUAAAUUAGCUUUGUCAUCUGGUCCAGGUUAGGCUGGGCAAUUCUGCUGGUUUCAUUUAGGCUCACCCAGGCAGCUGAAGACACCUUGGUGCAGCAUGGUCUAAGUUGGCCUUGCCUGGCCUGGGGUAGCUGCCGUUGGCUGAGCCGUACAUCUCCAGCAGGCUAGCCUGGGCUCCUCCAUUGGAUGCAGCCUUCCCAGAGCAAGCCACAUGUGCAACCGCUUCCCAAGCCGCUGCUUACAUUGCAUUUGCUGCUGUCCCAUUGGCUAAAGCGGGUCAUGUGACCAAGCCGGCGGCCAAUGUAGGAGAGGAUUACACAAGAGGGGUGUGGCUCCUGGGCACUCAUGGCUGUACCAACCUACGACCAAUUCCCCUGAGCGCCAGGCUGUUUCCUGCCUCUGCACCAUCGCCCAAGCUUUCCCCUUCGCUUGUUAUGCCCUGCUGGGCGAUCUCCUACUCGGGCAAGUCACAAGCUUCUCUGUGUCUCAGCCUCCUCCUCUGUAAAAUGGGGAUCACAUGAGUUUAAGUUAUUCUGAGGAUUAAACAAGUUAACACACAAACAUUUAAAACAGUGUCUAGCACGCAGUAGGUCCUCCAGAGAUGCCAGCCAUCACCAUCACAGUGGUGAUUCUUGGUAUGACGACCCCUGCCCUCUUCAAAGCCCCGUUUAAGGAAUCUCCUCUCUGAAGCUGUCUCUGGUUCUCUCCAGGCAAGCAUCCUCCCCCAGGCCUGGCCCUAUAAUUAUCUUUUCCUCAUCCACCUACUCCAUCUACAGUAGGAUCCAGAGGGAAGGGAAUCCCAGGGCCCAGCCCAGGGAGUGCGAACUAUCUGAUUUCCUCUGCAAUUAGGGAGGCAAGACAGUCCUCGGUGGCCCCAUUUGACAGAGGUGAAAACUGCCGCUGUAGGAGAUGUGCUGAUUUGCCCGGGGUUGCGCAGCUGGUAGGUGGGUGAGCUGGGAGUGGAGCCAGGUUGGGCUGUAGCAGCUGUGUUUGCCCUGCCUCACUGUCCAGCUCCCACCUGGGCCGGGUGUCGGGGUCUCAAAGAGAAGGCAGAUACCGGCUCUGCCGCACAGAGCUCACAGUUUGGUGGAGGAGGAAGGCUCAAGCAGAGAGCAGGAGGUGUGAGUAGCUCUGUGGGCUGUGGGGGCCAGAUGGGUCCUCGACCCUGCGGGGUCAGAGCUGGCUGCCCAGAAGACAUGAAAUGGAAUAAGCAGAGUGACAUGCUCUGGGCCACAAACAGGGUGUGUGGCCGCCCUGAACACAUCACUGCAGCCACCUCCACAGCCACAGCCCUAGCCCUGUGGGUCAUGGGGAUGUGACCCUCCCCACUACCUCCCAUCACUGAGGACACACCUCCUGGGCCUCCAGUAACUACCCAGGCCUCCACACCUGCUACACCAUGAUGGUGCAGCCCGCCUCCCCAACGCCUUCAGCCCUGUGGAAAUUUUCUCUGGAGAUUCUAAUACCCCGGCCUCCUUGAGGUCAGUGUCUGCCCAGAGCCUCCCGGCAGGAGAGAAGAAACCCCACAGCUCUUUAGGGAAUGCCUGCCUGUCCAAAUGGACAAAGACAAGCUGUGCAGAAACCUCCCCUGGGAGGACUGAGCCAUCACCUGAGGAAUGGGAGUCUGUGGAAACGUGAGUCACCUCUGUGGGAAUAAAGCCUUUCAUCUGGACAUCGAAAUGGCCACCAGCUCCCUGAGUGACUUUGGGCAAGUCAUGCCCCACUCCAAGCCUCAGAAAGCCGACCUGUGAGAUGAGGAUGAAAGUAACCCCCUCAUGGGCCUGCCAUCCCACCACCAUGGCGCACUCCACCUGAAUGACCUUGAGGACUGUGACCGUUGCUGUGUGCAUCUGUGCUGCUUCCCGUUUCAUUGCUGAGUGGUGUUCCUGUAAAUGGAUAUGCCACUGUCUGCUUCUUCACUCACCAGCCCCAGGCACCCCGCCAUUCUACCGACUGUCUCUAUGAAUGUGACUACCAGGAUCAAGGAACUUCAUACCAGUUGAACCAUACAGUAUUUGUCCUUUUGUGACUGGCUUAUUUCACUGAACAUAAUAGCCUGAAGGUUUAUCCAUGUUGUAUGAUGUGUCAGAAUUUCCUUCCUUUUUAAGGCUAAAUAAUAUUCUAUUGUGUGCAGAGAUCAAUUGUCUUUAUCCAUUCAUCUGUUAAUGAACACUUGGGUUGGUUCCACCUUUUGGUUAUUAUGAAUAGUACUGUGAUGAACAUGAGUGCAAAUAUAUCUGUUUGAAUUCCAAAAAAAAAAAAAAAAAAAAAAAAA
This 2309-nucleotide long non-coding RNA is filed under the name Homo sapiens (human). RNAcentral describes it as "long independently transcribed non-coding RNA 1267 (LINC01267)". The record is from RNAcentral. Lineage: Eukaryota; Metazoa; Chordata; Mammalia; Primates; Hominidae.